Molecule: ribosomal RNA, 912 nt
Filed under: uncultured archaeon
Lineage: Archaea
Description: bacterial SSU rRNA
Rfam family: Archaeal small subunit ribosomal RNA
Source: RNAcentral
UUCCGGUUGAUCCUGCCGGAGGCUACCGCUAUUGGAGUUCGGUUAAGCCAUGCGAGUCUAGAGGCCUAGCCUCGGCGUACCGCUCAGUAACACGUGGGUAACCUACCCUAUGCUGGGGAAUAAGCUCGGGAAACUGAGAAUAAUACCCCAUAGUCCACUACGCCUGGAACGGUGAGUGAAUCAAAGCUCCGGCGGCAUAGGAUGGGCCUGCGGCGUAUCAGGUUGUAGGGGGUGUAAUGUACCCUCUAGCCAUCCACGCGUACGGGUGUUGGGAGACAUUGCCCGGAGAUGGAUUCUGAGACACGAAUCCAGACCCUACGGGGUGCAGCAGGCGCGAAAACUUGGCAAUGCGAGAAAUCGUGACCAGGGAACUCCAAGUGGCAGGGGUAAGACCCUGUCUUUUUCCGACUCUAAAUAGGUCGGCGAAUAAGGGGUGGGUAAGGACGGUGCCAGCCGCCGCGGUAAUACCGGCGCCUCAAGUGGUAGUCGCUUUUAUUGGGCCUAAAACGUCCGUAGCCGGUCUGGUACAUUCGUGGGUAAAUCAACUCGCUCAACGAGUUGAAUUCUGCGAGGACGGCCAGACUUGGGACCGGGAGAGGUGUGGGGUACUCUCAGGGUAGGGGUAAAAUCCUGUCAUCCUGAGAGGACCACCUGUUGCGAAGGCUCCACACUAGAACGGAUCCGACGGUCAGGGACGAAGCCUAGGGGCACGAACCGGAUUAGAUACCCGGGUAGUCCUAGGUGUAAACGCUGUGGACUUGAUGUUGGGGACGCUCCGAGCGUUCUCAGUGUCGAAGCGAAGGUGAUAAGUCCACUGCCUGGGGAGUACGGUCGCAAGGCUGAAACUUAAAGGAAUUGGCGGGGGAGCACCGCAACCUGAGGAUUGUGCGGUUUAAUUGGAUCAACGCCGGA